RNAcentral lists this ribosomal RNA (615 nucleotides) under unidentified archaeon. RNAcentral describes it as "bacterial SSU rRNA". It matches the Rfam family "Archaeal small subunit ribosomal RNA", at positions 446 to 1054 of the family's 1478-position model. The record is from RNAcentral.
GCAAGACCGGUGCCAGCCGCCGCGGUAACACCGGCGGCUCGAGUGGUAACCGUUAUUAUUGGGUCUAAAGGGUCUGUAGCCGGUUUGGAUCAGUCCUCUUGGGAAAUCUGGUAGCUUAACUGUUAGGCUUUCGGGGGAUACUGUCUGGCUUGGAGGCCGGGAGAGGUGAGAGGUACUUCAGGGGUAGGGGUGAAAUCUUGUAAUCCCUGUGAAGGACCACCUGUGGCGAAGGCGUCUUACCAGAACGGGUUCUGACGGUGAGGGACGAAAGCUGGGGGCACGGACCGGAUUAGAUACCCGGGUAGUCCUAGCCGUAAACGAUGCUCGCUAGGUGUCAGGCAUGGCGCGACCGUGUCUGGUGCCGCAGGGAAGCCGUGAAGCGAGCCACCUGGGAAGUACGGCCGCAAGGCUGAAACUUAAAGGAAUUGGCGGGGGAGCACAACAACGGGUGGAGCCUGCGGUUUAAUUGGACUCAACGCCGGACAACUCACCGGGGACGACAGCAAAAUGUAGGCCAGGCUGAAGACCUUGCCUGAAUCGCUGAGAGGAGGUGCAUGGCCGUCGCCAGUUCGUACUGUGAAGCAUCCUGUUAAGUCAGGCAACGAGCGAGACCCA